RNAcentral lists this ribosomal RNA (254 nucleotides) under uncultured bacterium. RNAcentral's name for it is "partial 16S ribosomal RNA". It matches the Rfam family "Bacterial small subunit ribosomal RNA", at positions 524 to 776 of the family's 1533-position model. The record is from RNAcentral.
UACGUAGGGUGCGAGCGUUGUCCGGAAUUAUUGGGCGUAAAGAGCUCGUAGGCGGUGUGUCACGUCGGCCGUGAAAACCUGCAGCUUAACUGUGGGCGUGCGGUCGAUACGGGCAUCACUGGAGUUCGGCAGGGGAGACUGGAAUUCCUGGUGUAGCGGUGAAAUGCGCAGAUAUCAGGAGGAACACCGGUGGCGAAGGCGGGCCUCUGGGCCGAUACUGACGCUGAGGAGCGAAAGCGUGGGGAGCAAACAGG